GAUGAACGCUGGCGGCGUGCCUAAUACAUGCAAGUCGAGCGAACAGACGAGGAUCUUGCUCCUUUGACGUUAGCGGCGGACGGGUGAGUAACACGUGUAUAACCUACCUAUAAGACUGGUAUAACUUCGGGAAACCGGAGCUAAUACCGGAUAACAUGUUGAACCGCAUGGUUCAACAGUGAAAUACGGUCUUGCUGGCACUUAUAGAGGCAUCCGCGCCGCAUUAGCUAGUUGGUAAGGUAACGGCUUACCAAGGCAACGAUGCGUAGCCGACCUGAGAGGGUGAUAGGCCACACUGGAACUGAGCCACGGUCCAGACUACUGCGGGACGCAGCAGUAGGGAAUCUUCCGCAAUGGGCGAAAGCAUGACGGAGCAACGCCGAGUGAGUGAAGACGGUCUUCGGAUCGUAAAAAUCUGUUAUUAGGGAAGAACAAAUGUGUAAGUAACUAUGCACGUCUUGACGGUAACUAAUCAGAAAGCCACGGCUAACUACGUG
Molecule: ribosomal RNA, 497 nt
Filed under: uncultured bacterium
Lineage: Bacteria
Description: partial 16S ribosomal RNA
Rfam family: Bacterial small subunit ribosomal RNA
Source: RNAcentral